GUGUUGGCUUAGGCAGUACAUAUACUAAAAUUGCAACAAUUCAGAGAACAAUAGUGGCCCCUGUGCAAGGAUGACACACAAAUUCAUGAAGCAUUCCAUAUUUUU
Molecule: small nuclear RNA, 105 nt
Organism: Perognathus longimembris pacificus (Pacific pocket mouse)
Lineage: Eukaryota; Metazoa; Chordata; Mammalia; Rodentia; Heteromyidae
Source: RefSeq, a predicted model, not a curated record